RNAcentral lists this ribosomal RNA (252 nucleotides) under uncultured bacterium. RNAcentral describes it as "partial 16S ribosomal RNA". It matches the Rfam family "Bacterial small subunit ribosomal RNA", at positions 524 to 776 of the family's 1533-position model. The record is from RNAcentral.
UACGGAGGAUGCGAGCGUUAUCCGGAUUUAUUGGGUUUAAAGGGUGCGUAGGCGGGAUGCCAAGUCAGCGGUAAAAAUGCGGUGCUCAACGCCGUCGAGCCGUUGAAACUGGCGUUCUUGAGUGGGCGAGAAGUAUGCGGAAUGCGUGGUGUAGCGGUGAAAUGCAUAGAUAUCACGCAGAACUCCGAUUGCGAAGGCAGCAUACCGGCGCCCUACUGACGCUGAAGCACGAAAGCGUGGGUAUCGAACAGG